This 70-nucleotide transfer RNA is filed under the name Fasciola hepatica (liver fluke). RNAcentral's name for it is "tRNA-Thr". The record is from RNAcentral. Lineage: Eukaryota; Metazoa; Platyhelminthes; Trematoda; Plagiorchiida; Fasciolidae.
CCGCGAUAACUCAGCUGGUAGAGUAUCUGUCAGGUAAGCGGAAUGUCGCCGGUUCAAUUUCGGGUGCGAA